Molecule: long non-coding RNA, 551 nt
Organism: Pangasianodon hypophthalmus (striped catfish)
Lineage: Eukaryota; Metazoa; Chordata; Actinopteri; Siluriformes; Pangasiidae
Exons: 3
Source: RefSeq, a predicted model, not a curated record
ACGUGGGCUUUUUGGUAUUCGCUAACUGUCAUAAUGUUGGAUAAAUGUGAUAGUAUGAAAGUAAAUAUGAAAAUGAAGCGCAAAACAAGAAGAAGAAGGAGAAAGGUGGCUUUUGACCAAGACUUGAUUAAGGACUUUGCUGCAAAGAAGUCCUGAGGACAAAAUUUCUAACAGCAAAACCUCGACACCGGAUACAUGCGGUGUGGAUACAAGUGGAUACGCAUGGACACAGAACAGGACCAGAAAUGUUCUUUGCGAUCUCUGGGAUGGAGAUUCAGGAGAUCGGCUAGUUAACUCUGUGGAAGCGCAGUGACAUGAAGGAGAAAGCCAGACUCUUUUAACCAUAUGUAACACCAUACACUUGUGUAACAUAGUCAUAUAUUUGCUUGUAAUCUCUCUUCCUUUUUCUAGUGGCCCUUGUACAGUAGGUGCAAAUGGGAAGGAAUCUGAAGUGAUUUCAUUGAUUGAUUUCAUUGGUUAACACAACGUAAUGCUAUGAUACUACUAUGGUACCAUCAUUUUAAAUAAAAAGUGUAAAAUGGUUUAAAACA